Molecule: ribosomal RNA, 49 nt
Filed under: Corollospora maritima
Lineage: Eukaryota; Fungi; Ascomycota; Sordariomycetes; Microascales; Halosphaeriaceae
Also listed under: 1 other name
Description: partial 28S ribosomal RNA
Source: RNAcentral
UCGACCUCGAAUCAGGUAGGGUUACCCGCUGAACUUAAGCAUAUCAAUA